RNAcentral lists this ribosomal RNA (429 nucleotides) under Gemmatimonadota bacterium. RNAcentral describes it as "Gemmatimonadetes bacterium partial 16S ribosomal RNA". It matches the Rfam family "Bacterial small subunit ribosomal RNA", at positions 355 to 776 of the family's 1533-position model. The record is from RNAcentral. Lineage: Bacteria; Pseudomonadati; Gemmatimonadota.
UAGGGAAUCUUCGGCAAUGGACGAAAGUCUGACCGAGCAACGCCGCGUGAGUGAAGAAGGUUUUCGGUUCGUAAAACUCUGUUGUUAGAGAAGAACAAUGACGUUAGUAACUGACCCUCCCCUGACGGUAUCUAACCAGAAAGCCACGGCUAACUACGUGCCAGCAGCCGCGGUAAUACGUAGGUGGCAAGCGUUGUCCGGAUUUAUUCGACGUAAAGCGAGCGCAGGCGGUGUCUUAAGUCUGAUGUGAAAGCCCCCGGCUCAACCGGGGAGGGUCAUUGGAAAAUGGGAGUCUUGAGUGCAGAAGAGGAGAGUGGAAUUCCAUGUGUAGCGGUGAAGUGCGUCGAUAUAUGGAGGAACACCAGUAGCGAAGGCGGGUCUCAGUACUGAAACUGACGCUGAGGCUCGAAGGCGUGGGGAGCAAACAGG